UAUCAAGCCGUAUACCUACCCUAUCUUUC
RNAcentral lists this non-coding RNA (29 nucleotides) under Rattus norvegicus (Norway rat). The record is from RNAcentral. Lineage: Eukaryota; Metazoa; Chordata; Mammalia; Rodentia; Muridae.